CUACGGGGGGCAGCAGUGGGGAAUAUUGCACAAUGGGCGCAAACCUGAUGCAGCCAUGCCGCGUGUAUGAAGAAGGCCUUCGGGUUGUAAAGUACUUUCAGCGGGGAGGAAGGGAGUAAAGUUAAUACCUUUGCUCAUUGACGUUACCCGCAGAAGAAGCACCAGCUAACUCCGUGCCAGCAGCCGCGGUAAUACGGAGGGUGCAAGCGUUAAUCGGAAUUGACUGGGCGUAAAGCGCACGCAGGCGGUUUGUUAAGUCAGAUGUGAAAUCCCCGGGCUCAACCUGGGAACUGCAUCUGAUACUGGCAAGCUUGAGUCUCGUAGAGGGGGGUAGAAUUCCAGGUGUAGCGGUGAAAUGCGUAGAGAUCUGGAGGAAUACCGGUGGCGAAGGCGGCCCCCUGGACGAAGACUGACGCUCAGGUGCGAAAGCGUGGGGAGCAAACAGGAUUAGAUACCCUCGUAGUC
RNAcentral lists this ribosomal RNA (465 nucleotides) under uncultured bacterium. RNAcentral's name for it is "partial 16S ribosomal RNA". It matches the Rfam family "Bacterial small subunit ribosomal RNA", at positions 339 to 795 of the family's 1533-position model. The record is from RNAcentral.